This 476-nucleotide ribosomal RNA is filed under the name uncultured bacterium. Its description in RNAcentral is "bacterial SSU rRNA". It matches the Rfam family "Bacterial small subunit ribosomal RNA", at positions 28 to 507 of the family's 1533-position model. The record is from RNAcentral.
GAUGAACGCUGGCGGCGUGCCUCAAACAUGCAAGUCGAGCGGGGCUAUGUAAUAUCGCAAGGUAGAACAUAGCCUAGCGGCGAACGGGUGAGUAACACGUGGGUAACCUGCCUGGAAGACAGGGAUAACGAUUCGAAAGGGUCGCUAAUACCUGAUAAUAUCCUUUCAUCGCAUGGUGAUAGGAAGAAAGGGGAAACCCGCUUUCAGAUGGGCCCGCGUCCCAUCAGCUAGUUGGUAAGGUAAAGGCUUACCAAGGCGACGACGGGUAGCCGGUCUGAGAGGAUGUACGGCCACACUGAGACUGAGAUACGGCCCAGACUCCUACGGGAGGCAGCAGUUGGGAAUCUUAGGCAAUGGACGAAAGUCUGACCUAGCGACGCCGCGUGAGGGGAAGAAGGCCUUCGGGUUGUAAACCUCUGUCAUGGGGGAAGAAGUAAGUGACGGUACCCCAAGAGGAAGCCCCUGCUAACUACGUG